GACGAACGCUGGCGGCGUGCCUAAUACAUGCAAGUAGAACGCACAGUUUAUACCGUAGCUUGCUACACCAUAGACUGUGAGUUGCGAACGGGUGAGUAACGCGUAGGUAACCUGCCUGGUAGCGGGGGAUAACUAUUGGAAACGAUAGCUAAUACCGCAUAAUAUUAAUUAUCGCAUGAUAAUUAAUUGAAAGGUGCAAUUGCACCACUACCAGAUGGACCUGCGUUGUAUUAGCUAGUAGGUGAGGUAACGGCUCACCUAGGCGACGAUACAUAGCCGACCUGAGAGGGUGAUCGGCCACACUGGGACUGGGACACGGCCCAGACUCCUACGGGAGGCAGCAGUAGGGAAUCUUCGGCAAUGGACGAAAGUCUGACCGAGCAACGCCGCGUGAGUGAAGAAGGUUUUCGGAUCGUAAAGCUCUGUUGUAAGAGAAGAACGGGUGUGAGAGUGGAAAGUUCACACUGUGACGGUAUCUUACCAGAAAGGGACGGCUAACUACGUG
Molecule: ribosomal RNA, 505 nt
Filed under: uncultured bacterium
Lineage: Bacteria
Description: partial 16S ribosomal RNA
Rfam family: Bacterial small subunit ribosomal RNA
Source: RNAcentral